This 253-nucleotide ribosomal RNA is filed under the name uncultured prokaryote. Its description in RNAcentral is "partial 16S ribosomal RNA". It matches the Rfam family "Bacterial small subunit ribosomal RNA", at positions 524 to 776 of the family's 1533-position model. The record is from RNAcentral.
UACGGGGGGGGUAAGCGUUGUUCGGAAUUACUGGGCGUAAAGGGCUCGUAGGCGGCCAACUAAGUCAGACGUGAAAUCCCACGGCUCAACCGUGGAACUGCCUUAGAUACUGACGGCCUCGAGGAAGGUAGGGGCAUGCGGAACUGUAGGUGGAGCGGUGAAAUGCGUUGAUAUCUACAGGAACUCCGGUGGCGAAAGCGGCGUGCUGGACCUUUUCUGACGCUGAGGCGCGAAAGCUAGGGGAGCAAACGGG